Molecule: long non-coding RNA, 1067 nt
Filed under: Selaginella moellendorffii
Lineage: Eukaryota; Viridiplantae; Streptophyta; Lycopodiopsida; Selaginellales; Selaginellaceae
Description: long non-coding RNA (SMOE_LNC000946)
Source: RNAcentral
AAGGUUUAUGCCUCAUUUCCCAGGCCUGCUAUGCAUUAAAACAUUUAGUGUGAAAGCAAGCUCAUGCCCUGGCCAUUUUCCUAAAAUCUCAACAUAGAGAUUGUGCUGUAGGGUGUCCUCUUUGUCUGGCUUGCUUGUAUGCCUUGUGAAGCCGAUGGCACUCCUCGUUCCACUAGGGUUUGACUGGUAAGCCGUGCUACUGAGGUGGUUUGCAGGAUGCGGACCAGGAAAUCUGCCCAGAAACCUAUCUGGAUGCCAUGUUGUUCUUGUCUCUAAAGUUCUUCCACCGUGUGCUGCAGAGCAAGCGCUCAAUGGGGCGCAGUUGCUAGAUCACUGGUGCCUGUGUUGGCCAUCCGAUUUGAGUUUUUUCCUUGACUGGAUUUCAAAAGCCCUCUUUUGUGCGGGAAUAUUUUUCCAGAUUGUAUCUUCAAUGCCAAGGGAUGUGUGCCCCUUUCAAUUUGAUGCGCCUGGACAUGCAAUGCCCAAAUUGUCGAGGAGGGCCGCCAGCACAAGGAGUUCCCCUUUAUGUAUCUGCUGUCAAGUGAUUAGGAGUAUGAUGUCUUAAUGGCAGACCAUCACGAGCUGGUAACAAAGAGAAGAAACAUCUCUUUUUACUUUUGUAGUUCAUACAAACUUUGGUUUGUUUGUCUCAUAGCAAUCUGUGGUGUCCAUACCCAAGAUUUCUCAACUUGGAGUAAGUAGGAUUGAUUAUAACUUGUCUCUUUUGAAGUUACCUUUAGAAGGACGAUGUCAUUUCUUUAGUGACUAAGACACUUUUUUUGUUUUUCUCUUACAGGUUCAAAUCCCAACGUUGUGGUAAACAUAUGGAGAGAACCAUCCUACGGGCUGUCAUGGCCGUCACUACCACAGCCUACGAGUGAGCGGGCCAUGGCAGUCAGGGCUUGGUCCCAGGGCUGUAAUCUGCAAGCGGCUCACAGCCAUGAGCCAUGGCUGAGAAAGCGCUAUGAACACAAAGCUAAUCUUGCUGUUCGUGUUAGUUGGGGCUGGUCAGCACUCCAGUAGCUCAAGGCUAGUCAAUUGGUAGUUUUUAUUAAUUGUUAUAAAUU